AAUUGUAUAUGUUGAAAAGGUUCAAGUUUGGGGUUGUAUAGGGAAAGUUGAAAGGCAAAAGAAAACCAUUGAGCUCAAAGGUUGUAAAAGAAAAAUGCAUGAGAAAAAGAAAGGAAAAGAAGAAAAGAAAAAUCAUGAAAAAUGAGCUCAAUGUAAAAAUAAAAAGGAAAAGGGAAAAAGUUGGGAAUGAGUGAGAUUGGUUCAAAAAGAGAGUGGUACUUGAACUUUGAAUGAUAAUUUAAACUCUCUUAACUCAAGGAUUUUGUAUUCUAGAAAAACCAAUUUUUCUUGAUAGCCCAGCCACAUUACAAGCCUUGGAAAAAUCCUUGUGAUGACAUUUGCAUGUAAGGAUUUUGAUUGUUUUAGAUUAUUGGAAAUAUUGUG
This 384-nucleotide long non-coding RNA is filed under the name Vigna radiata. Its description in RNAcentral is "long non-coding RNA (VRAD_LNC016662)". The record is from RNAcentral. Lineage: Eukaryota; Viridiplantae; Streptophyta; Magnoliopsida; Fabales; Fabaceae.